CCUACGGGUGGCAGCAGUGGGGGAUAUUGCACAAUGGGGGCAACCCUGAUCCAGCGACGCCGCGUGGGUGAAGAAGCGCCUCGGCGCGUAAAGCCCUGUCAGCAGGGACGAAAAUUCCGGUACCUGUAGAAGAAGCCCCGGCUAACUACGUGCAAGCAGCCGCGGUAAUACGUAGGGGGCAAGCGUUAUCCGGAUUUACUGGGUGUAACGGGGGCGCAGUUGGCGAUGCAAGCCAGGAGUGAAAGCCUGGGGCCGAACCCCGGGACUGCUGUUGGAACUGCGUGGCUAGAGUGCAGGAGGGGCAGGCGGAAUUCCUGGUGUAGCGGUGAAAUGCGUAGAUAUCAGGAGGAACACCGAUGGCGAAGGCAGCCUGCUGGACUGCAACUGACGUUGAGGCCCGAAAGCGUGGGUAGCAAACAGGAUUAGAUACCCGUGUAGUC
This 440-nucleotide ribosomal RNA is filed under the name uncultured bacterium. RNAcentral describes it as "partial 16S ribosomal RNA". It matches the Rfam family "Bacterial small subunit ribosomal RNA", at positions 338 to 795 of the family's 1533-position model. The record is from RNAcentral.